UACGGAGGGUGCAAGCGUUAUCCGGAUUCACUGGGUUUAAAGGGUGCGUAGGUGGAUUGGUAAGUCAGUGGUGAAAUCUCCGGGCUUAACCCGGAAACUGCCAUUGAUACUAUCUGUCUUGAAUAUCGUGGAGGUAAGCGGAAUAUGUCAUGUAGCGGUGAAAUGCUUAGAUAUGACAUAGAACACCAAUUGCGAAGGCAGCUUACUACCCGAAUAUUGACACUGAGGCACGAAAGCGUGGGGAUCGAACAGG
Molecule: ribosomal RNA, 253 nt
Filed under: uncultured bacterium
Lineage: Bacteria
Description: partial 16S ribosomal RNA
Rfam family: Bacterial small subunit ribosomal RNA
Source: RNAcentral